Pelobates cultripes (western spadefoot toad) is the source of this 320-nucleotide non-coding RNA. The record is from the annotation of a GenBank genome assembly. Lineage: Eukaryota; Metazoa; Chordata; Amphibia; Anura; Pelobatidae.
AGAAAAUAACUUGCGUGAAUAAUAUGCUUCCAUUACGUUUGGCGGGAGUUCAGCAUAUUCCAUAACACUCCAUAAUAUUGUUUUCUGUCAUUCUGUUACUCACUAAGGGGUUUAUUCACUAAACACUGAAUUAAGGUGACUUGAAAUUCAAAUUGCAAAAAGUAGCAGAUUUGAAAAAAAAAAAAAAAUUAAACUCCACUCUAGUCACCGCUUGGCUAUUUCUGAAAUUCAGACUUUAAUUCACUACAGUUCAGUGUCUAGUAGCUAUACCCUAUACAAUGAAAUUAACUGCUGAUAUAAACUGUGUCACUGUAAUGAGC